GCCGAAGUGGUGGAAUUGGCAGACGCGACGGAUUCAAAAUCCGUUGCCUUCACGGGCGUGUGGGUUCGAGUCCCACCUUCGGCA
This 84-nucleotide transfer RNA is filed under the name Halanaerobium sp. DL-01. It matches the Rfam family "tRNA". From Rfam's summary of the family: Transfer RNA (tRNA) molecules are approximately 80 nucleotides in length. Their secondary structure includes four short double-helical elements and three loops (D, anti-codon, and T loops). Further hydrogen bonds mediate the characteristic L-shaped molecular structure. tRNAs have two regions of fundamental functional importance: the anti-codon, which is responsible for specific mRNA codon recognition, and the 3' end, to which the tRNAs corresponding amino acid is attached (by aminoacyl-tRNA synthetases). tRNAs cope with the degeneracy of the genetic code in two manners: having more than one tRNA (with a specific anti-codon) for a particular amino acid; and 'wobble' base-pairing, i.e. permitting non-standard base-pairing at the 3rd anti-codon position. RNAcentral also lists the same sequence under 2 other names. Lineage: Bacteria; Bacillati; Bacillota; Clostridia; Halanaerobiales; Halanaerobiaceae. The record is from Rfam by way of RNAcentral.